Molecule: ribosomal RNA, 253 nt
Filed under: uncultured bacterium
Lineage: Bacteria
Description: partial 16S ribosomal RNA
Rfam family: Bacterial small subunit ribosomal RNA
Source: RNAcentral
UACGGAGGGAGCUAGCGUUGUUCGGAAUUACUGGGCGUAAAGCGCGCGUAGGCGGCUUUGUAAGUUAGAGGUGAAAGCCCGGGGCUCAACCCCGGAAUUGCCUUUAAGACUGCAUCGCUUGAAUCCGGGAGAGGUGAGUGGAAUUCCGAGUGUAGAGGUGAAAUUCGUAGAUAUUCGGAAGAACACCAGUGGCGAAGGCGGCUCACUGGACCGGCAUGACGCGUGAGGUGCGAAAGCGUGGGGAGCAAACAGG